AUUGAACGCUGGCGGAAUGCUUUACACAUGCAAGUCGAGCGGCAGCGCGGGGCAACCUGGCGGCGAGCGGCGAACGGGUGAGUAACACAUCGGAACGUGCCCAGACGUGGGGGAUAGCCCGGCGAAAGCCGGAUUAAUACCGCAUACGAUCUGAGGAUGAAAGCGGGGGAUCGCAAGACCUCGCGCGUUUGGAGCGGCCGAUGGCAGAUUAGGUAGUUGGUGGGGUAAAGGCUUACCAAGCCUGCGAUCUGUAGCUGGUCUGAGAGGAUGAUCAGCCACACUGGGACUGAGACACGGCCCAGACUCCUACGGGAGGCAGCAGUGGGGAAUAUUGCGCAAUGGACGGAAGUCUGACGCAGCGACGCCGCGUGAGCGACGAAGGCCUUCGGGUCGUAAAGCUCUGUUCUUGAGGACGAAUAAGCCAGGGAGUGGAAGCCCUGGUGAUGACUGUACUCAAGGAGAAAGCUCCGGCUAACUACGUGACC
Molecule: ribosomal RNA, 485 nt
Filed under: uncultured bacterium
Lineage: Bacteria
Description: bacterial SSU rRNA
Rfam family: Bacterial small subunit ribosomal RNA
Source: RNAcentral